CCUGUCCCCAGCUGGAAAAGCAGCAGGAAGGAGGAAAUCUGAAAAAUGGCACACUCUGAACCAGGGCAGAGUGUGGAUUUUCCCGCUGGUCUGCUGGACUCCACUUUGCUGAAUUCCUGGAGGGAAAGAUGUAAAACCCAGCUGGAUGUGAGGGAGCCAUCAGCACAAACUCCUCAGCCAAAAUAGGAGCUGAAGACCCAGAAAGUGGUGGGGUAGAGCUGUGAAUCCUAGCAACAGGCGGGGAAAGAACUGUACAUUUCUUCACGUCCUCCAAGUGUUGGUGCCUUCUGGUACAUCAUUGACAGGAAGAGACAGAGACCAUGGAAAGGCCCUCCUUGCUGAUGCAUCAAGAAAGGGCACAUUUUUUCCAGUGGGAUGGGUAGCAAAGGAAAGUGGUACUUUGAAGAAUAAACCCCUCUGCCUUCAGAACGAAGCUCAGGCUGCACAGGAGGCUGGAGCAACUUACAGCUUCUAUUCAGGCUCCUCUCUGGGCAUGCUGGGUGACCUUGUGUUCUCCCAUUUUCCUCUGGGGGAGAUAUUAUUUAUCCCUGAUAAUAAAACACAGGAUUCUUCAACUGCGACUCACGGUUUAAUCUAUUGUGUCAACUUACACAAGCUCCCUUGGAAGAAAAGAAAGAUCAGAGGCAAUAAAAGGAGUAAAAAAUGAAGCAUCUUUAACUGAAGCUAUACAACUUUCAUCUGAGGUCAGGCCCGUGUUGCC
RNAcentral lists this long non-coding RNA (721 nucleotides) under Parus major (Great Tit). Its description in RNAcentral is "lncRNA (ENSPMJG00000007332.1)". The record is from RNAcentral. Lineage: Eukaryota; Metazoa; Chordata; Aves; Passeriformes; Paridae.